UUUUUUUUUUUUUUUUUUUUGGUUCGUAAAUUUAAUCAAGUUUGGAAGUUGCAGAUUCUCAUACCAUCCCUGUAACAAAUUAACAACCACACCACACCACACCCCUCACAGAUUCCUCUCUCUUUCACUCUCUCUCUCUCUCUAUAUGUAUAUAUAUAUAUAUAUAUAUAUAUACACUAACAAAAACACAAACACACACACUCAUGUCUCAUGACUCAUGAUAUAAAAUAAAAUAACGUAAUUGAAAAAUAAACCAGUUGCCACGUCGGGCUGUCUCAACUCUUUCCCUUACUAAACUACCCUACGCGGUAAAGUGGUAGGGGUAGGACUACCCUACAUGCACAAAAUCGAUGACCACAACCAAUUUGCCUGACCAUUUACUUGAGAGUGUAAUGCACGUAAAACCUUAGAAAUUUUGCCUUGUGAAAAUUGAUCCAUCUCAAUUUACCAAGACAACCUAGCUGAUUUUUCCGAAGAAUAAAAAGAGGAUUUUUCCGUCGUAUCAUAGAUAUAAAUAUAUUUUUGAAACCAAUUUAUAAUUUCAAAUACAUCACAUCACAAAAUGGUGCUAUAAUAUUAUUUUAAUUUUUUUUUGUUUUCAGUAGUAUAAUCUUCUAUCCAAACACACUGUUCCUUUCCUUCCGAGUGUCAAUAGACAGGCUGAAUCUGAGAAUUCCAUAUGCAAAAGUUCUUUUAACCAGGCAUAGUUGCCUAAAAUUUGAGGAAAAUAUUAUAGGUUUUCAAAUAUUUAUAUCAUCUCAAUUUUUUUAAAAAUUAGCAAUUAUAUUUUUGUCACGUCAUAUUCAGAAUUUGGUGUUGAUGCUUUGCCUUUAACGAUUCAGCAUAUAAUUUCACGAACACAUACAGGGCUAUUUUAACAAUUCAGUAACUUCUACAUAAACUAGAAAGUUUUUUUUAUAUAUAUAUAAGAAAGAUAAUGUAUAAAUUAAAAAUAUAUUAUAACGAUUUGAUUUAUAUGAAAUAAAAAGAUGGUAUAGAAACGUAUUCAUAAAAAAAUAAACAUUUUUUUUGGAGAAAGAAUGUCAAUCCAAACAAGUCACAUCACAAAUGAGUGAGUACAUGGUAAAAGGUUUGCUAAACUCCAUUCCUAGCUCUAGCUCUCUCCUCCUUAAUGCGUCUCUCCCUACAGCCAAAAUGUUAUCCACCAUGUACGCACACUUGGGCAUUUUCCUCUUCUCUUCUCCUCCACUUUUCCUCUCUAUUAUCACCAAACUUCAUAGCCCCUAAUCCAACUCCCCUCCCUUCCCCUCCCCAAAUAUCCUCCCCACCUCCUCUAUAUCUCUCCCUCUCCAGAGCCCAUGGGUUUCUUGUAGUGUAAUGAAAGUGUGAAACCUCCAAAAACAAACAAAACUGGACCAAAAACUUCUGCCAUCAGCUCCACAGCUUCCAAUUCUACCAACAACAAGACCUUGCACAACCCACAACCAAGAACAACACCAAAACCAAUACCAAUACCCAUCUCUCAAAAACUCUCCCUUUCAUAACUCACAGUUUUUUGUAUGAGUGUUUCGAUAAAUGGACUCUGCGAAGACACUUCAAAAGCCGGCAACUUUUGAAGUGCUCCGCAGCACUUAACUACUAAACCCCCCAAACCCCCCCAAGCGAUGUGGGAACUUAACCCCACAGGGUGCCCCGCUGCUAAGAGAUAAAGACCCCCCAGACUCCCCGAGACAGGUUUUUCCCUUUCAUAACUCACAGUUUUUUGUAUGAGUGUUUCGAUAAAUGGACUCUGCGAAGACACUUCAAAAGCCGGCAACUUUUGAAGUGCUCCGCAGCACUUAACUACUAAACCCCCCAAACCCCCCCAAGCGAUGUGGGAACUAUUUUAUAGAUAUAGAUAGCUACAGCUUACAAGAUACAAGCCUCCAACUAUUUUAUAGGUAGACUAGGCUAGAGUAGCCUUGCCGCCCCAACCCUUUUUAUUUUUAUUUUUCUUUUUUUCUGGGGUUGGGUUGGGGGUGGAGACUAGACUCUAGAGAGGGCAAUUUCUUGAAUUUUGUGUGGUCAUCUAACUGCCUGAAGUCUGAUUCUGAACCGCCCAGCUGCUGCUUUUGUGAUUGAUAUAUACUUACCCCUCAAGGGAGUCUGUCUUACCAUUUUAUUUUUCCUCUCUCUUAUAUGGUUAUAUUCUCUCUUCUGAUCAGAUCUUUCUCUCUCUCUCCCAUGAGCAUGUGAUCCUUCUGAAAAGGUACUUAUCUGAAACUAACAACAGACACCAGAAAAUCAUUACCUACAGACAAAUCCCAAUAAUACUACUGUAGUAUUCAUUGAUUGAUAAUAACAAAGAAAGAGAAAGAAGAGAAGAGGAGGAGGAGAAAAUGUUGUUGGAUCUGAAUAUUGAUGCUGAUGCUGCAGCAGCAGCAUCAGUGGACUCAGCUUGUGAUGAAACCGACCCUUUUCCUUGCCCCGUCAAAACCACCGCUGCUGCUACUGCUACUUUGUUAACUGAUCAUGAUUCCGGGGCCUCAUCGUCCGUCCUCAUCAUAGCCGACGAAGAAUCCAACAGCUCCUCCCCACCGACUCAUAACCAACCCCACCACCGUUGCACAACCACCACUCUCAAUUUCUCCAUCCUCAACACCACUGGGGAAGACCAUAUCAUCCAAAUUCUUGACAAUGAUCAAGAUUUCGACAAUGAUGAUCAUCGUCAAGGUUUGAUGACUAGGCAGUUUUUUCCUGUUGUCCCCAACAAUGACCCAUUCCCGUUCCCCACCACGACCACGACGACGACAGCCAGGCCUCCACAAUGGCUCAAACUGUCCGUGCCGGAGGCCGCCGCUGCUGGGGAAAUUGGUGGGAUAUAUAACAAGGGUCAGCAGCAGCAGCAACAACAACAUCAGCUUGGUCAGCCGUAUCAGCAGCACCAAGUAGCUGGAGGCGGUGCGAAGAAGAGCAGGAGGGGGCCUAGGUCGAGAAGUUCUCAGUAUAGGGGUGUCACGUUUUAUCGGAGGACUGGCAGAUGGGAAUCCCAUAUCUGGUAUCUGUUCUAUGCUACACUUUGCAGUUUACAGGAAGAAAAAAACCCAUCCCCCCAACCAUACCGUGUCAAUGGCUUCUUGGGACUUUGUUGUUUGUGUUACAGAUGUAUUCAUAUUUUGCGAAAAUCAAGCUGUUUGUGGGAAUUUAUUUUCUACAUAAACUACUGCUCCAUAUGGUAUCGUUUAUUGUGCCGACUUCUUUUCUUUUAUGUGUGUGAUUGUCUUAAACUUUAAUUACGUGAUCUUUCUUUUCUUGUUUUUCUUUUCUUUUGCUUAUUUACCCUUCAUGCAUUUAGGGGUAGAAUCGGAAUGGUAGUGAGAAGAGGGGUUUUCUUCCCCCUUGCUUUUGGGGAGCGGGGGUUUUGGGAAUGAUAAUCGAGCUUUCAAUUUCAUAAUUAUGGAAGAGUGUUUUGACAGCUACAUCUCAGUUAUAAAUUGUGUGCAAGGAUUCUUUGCUGUCGAUUUGUUUCUUGGUAAAUUCGUGAAUGACUAGGGUAACGUCUAAACUGCUUCUUCUCUAUCGUCUCUUUUUUAUUUUGAAUUUUGUGGGACUCUAAAUCGAUUAAUUUUGAUGACAGUAUGGGAUAGUUCUCUGAUAGUAUUCAUAGGACUAGUAUGCAUUUCUUUGUCUUAAACAUUUGGGCCUCCUACUCCUCCUUGAUUGUAAUUGUAUCUUUUGUUUGUGGCAUUAUGAACAGGGAUUGCGGGAAACAAGUGUAUUUAGGUAAGCGGCUUAAGAUACUGAUUUACGACUCAUGUAAGUCUUUUCAUUAUUUUGCGAUUUUAAUUUGUAGUGCAUUUGCUUUUUCAGGAGGAUUUGAUACAGCUCAUACUGCAGCUAGGUAAUCAUCUUUUUUAGGGAAAAGAAUAACCAAUAAAAGAAAAAUGUUUCUAGUACUUUCAAGUUGAUCUUGCUACGAAAAGCUCAUUUUACAAGUUUUCGCUCCCUACUUUCCUAGCUGAUUUUAACAAUUAUUGUUCAGAGCGUAUGAUCGAGCAGCAAUCAAGUUUCGAGGUGUUGAUGCUGACAUUAAUUUUCAUAUCAGCGAUUAUGCAGACGAUUUGAAACAGGUUCACUUCUGCUGAUAAAUUUCUAGCAUCAGUAAGGUCAGAUAAUGCAAAUAAUGCAACAUGCGUUCCAUGUUAACCUUCAUUAAGUUGAUGUACAGAUGCAAAACUUGGCAAAGGAAGAAUUUGUUCAUAUUCUUCGUCGUCAAAGCACUGGAUUCUCGCGCGGGAGCUCAAAGUAUAGAGGAGUUACCCUACACAAAUGUGGUCGCUGGGAGGCUCGGAUGGGCCAGUUUCUUGGUAAAAAGUACGUGUCCAGUAACACUACAAAUUCUAAGCUGCUUUUGGUUGGCCACAUGUAAAUAUAGAAGCAGUAGUCUCAUCCUUUGUACAUGAAAUUACCAAACCUGUAAAAAUGUUAAUUUCCCAACGAUUGUUAUGCACACUAUUUUGCAUGGAUAUUACUUUAGAUGGUUUCGAAAAUAAUGCUUGAGGGCCCAUUCUUCAUCAUAUGAGAUAACAACGGUUGGCUGCAGGUAUAUAUAUCUUGGGUUAUUCGACAGCGAAGUAGAAGCUGCAAGGUCCUUAACCAUAAAUCAAACUCCUUGAGACUGAUUUUCUCACUCUGAAAUGAAAAAUAUAGUUUUUAUUGGGCUUCAUCCAACAAUAUUUCCAUUUUGUAUUUUUCCAGGGCAUAUGACAAAGCAGCUAUCAAAUGCAAUGGAAGGGAAGCAGUCACGAACUUUGAGCCUAGUGCCUAUGAGGGGGAGAUCAGUGGAGCUGCCAAAGAUGGAGGUAUGCUGAUCGUAUACGUAUUUUGCUUUCUCUUCAUUCAACCCUUUCAUCACAUGAUUGAAAGGAGCAGGCUAUUGACGUGGUACGGUUUCUGUUCUUGACCCACAGAUGCAGGUAGAGGUGACAAUCUUGAUCUCAACCUGUGGAUUUCUCCAGCUUCAGAUGGGCAGAAGGAAAUUGGUGAUUCAAAAAGUUCCUGUGCCCAUUAUGCAGCUUCUGAUGACAAAAUGAUAAAGGUAUCUCUUCAUUGAAGUGAUUAGCAAUUGAAGUUCUUUUCUUUGUUGUUUAUACUUUAAUCUUAAGAUUUAUCCAGAAGAAAAGAUGAACUGCUUCCAAGCUUUUGGUAGUCUUACAAUCGUUGUAAGAGCCAUGAAAUCUUUUUCUACUGUUUUAGGAACUUCGAGAAAUUCUGGUACUCAGAUUAUCUUCUCCUAUUCCUUGGCCUCCUUAAAAAAUACUUCGACAGGUGGAGAACUCCUUCAAUACUCCUGAAUAUCUACCAAUGGCAUCGCAAGAUUCUUCAGUUUGGACCCACACAUAUUCUGGUUUUGGUCCAAAGAAUGAGGUAAUUCUUUACUAACAUGAUGUCCGUGAACAGUUUUUCAUUAUACCAUAUAGGAGCUAUUUCUAACUUUCAAACUUCAGAAAAUUUAAUCUCUUAUAUAUAUAUAAAGUUGAAAAGUAAAUUUUGUGUUGUUUUACCAAUCAGUUCAAAUGCAUCUUCAAUUGUUAUUUUAUUGAACUACUUUCAGAAGAGUGAAUGGUCCUCAUGCUUCUCCAUUUUUCUUGAAGUAAAGGCUUGACUUUAGACGAUUCUUUUUCUUUCAACUUUUUAUGAUUCUGGGUUGUGGUCAAGAUGAAAACAAAACAAAGAGAUAAAUCUGGUUUAUCUUCAUAAACGUGAUGUUAAGACAUGAAAAUCCAUUUGACAGGAAAGAGCAAGGAAAAUGAGGCCUGAAGGCAUUCCGAUACCAGGAUUAUCAAACUGGCCAUGGAAAAUGCAUUGCCAUGGUGUGAUCACCUCGGUGCCUUUGUUUCCUUCUGCAGCAUCAUCAGGAUUCUCCACAGUGACUGCCACUUCAACCACGCUUGUGUCAACGAAUGCCCCAAAUAAGAUUGUCCACACCUCUGCCUUCCAGCACCCUCCUUUGACCCUUAAUUACAAUUAGCAAGCAUCAUCAUGAAGUACAACCUCUUUGAACAACGUUUGUUGGGGCUUGGAAUUCAGCUGGCAAAGGAAUCCACUCUGUUCAGUGCGGGGUUUCAUUUCUUCUAUGAUUCAUGCAUAUAUGAUAGAAACAAAGAUAUUUUGAACAUAUACAAUGGGGUAUAGGUUAGUGCAAAAUUGUGUAGAAUUGCUGCCAUGAGAAUUGUUGUAUAGCCAUUCACACUGUUUGGAACGUGGAAGUGCUCCACUGACUGCAAAGAAGCACGGCUUCUCUUGAGCAAAGAACUCAAGCUGGUUCAGUCCUGCUUGACCUAUACAAUGUUACCUAUACUACAAAUGGAAACUUGAGGUAUGCCAAAGCUCAUACUUCUAACUGGUGGUUUAAAGUCACUCUUUUAACUGCAAAAUGAAACUCGUGGUUUUUGCUCAGCCUGGUUUUGCACGGUGUUGUUUUACCGUUGCUCUAGAGAGUUUUCUUGAAUUUGUUGUGGUGAAGAUUCAUCAUGGAGUAUACGAAGAAAUAGCAACCGACACAGAUCCUCCAGAACUCAGGAAUUUGAGGGAUGGGGCUACUUUAAACUUCCAUCAGCUAUUAAACACUUCAGCAUCCAAUUCUUUUGCAUCCAAACAGAAAGAAUGCCAAAUAACAGAAGCUCCGUAUUACAUCAAGGUCCUAAAUCAAUUGUGCACCAAUGAAUUGCUGUGGAAUGUGUGGGAAAUUUCAUCAUCAAAAAAAUCAGUCGUUAAUUGCUUCCGGCGCCUUCAACAAUAUUUGAAAGAAAUAAAAAAAAAAAAAGAUAAACGCUGCUGCAGAUAAGAGAUUGGGCAGUUCUAAGUGCAAUUGCAAGCCCCACUCCAAUGCUUCACGCAUUUUUUUUUCCCAGAGUAAUCCUUCAGCAGUUUUGCUGUGCUCAAGCAGGCUACUGAGAGCUUGUCUACCCCCAAUGCAAUAAGGAACCUUUAGGCUUUAUUUGAUUAGUAGUAGGAAAGUUGCGCAGGAAGCGAAGUAUAUAUAUAUAUAUAAAGAGAAAAUCACUUUCUUGUGUAUAUAUGUUUGUUUGAUAGGAGAAAUUUUGAUAGAAAAUGGAUGGUUAGCGGCACUAUAUUGUAAAUAAUCAACAAUUUUCCUCCAAAAUCCUGCAGAUUUUGCAGGACAAUAAAUGCAGAAGAGUGAAGAAACAUUGCCUAACUUUCCUUGUAUUAAAAACAAAAAAAAAAAGAGUAACUUUCUUUCACUUUUCCAUCCUGUUCACUGCAAACAAACACAAACUUAGGCUUUCAGCAUGAUUGAUUAUCUUUAAUGUACAGAAACCAUGAUCCAUUGGGGUGUUUUAUGAUAAACAGGUAGGACCUAAAAUUUGGGUUAACUGUUUGCAAUUGUAAUCAUGGUAGUAAAAAAUCAUAUUUUAAGGGCUUGUCUAUCAAUGGAGAGCAAAGAAUGGCCACUGACUACAGUGACCUUUCUCCUUUUCUCCAUGGCAUUGGCACAUGCUUAGAUUAUAUUCUCAUUCCGCCCGUCCCCUUCUAAGGUCCAACCAAGAUCAAUGUAUUGAAAAACAAUAUGCUUGUGUCAUAUGCAUUUAAAAGAAAAGUAAUGAACUGUCUCCCCCUUUUUGUGUGUGAAACAAUGAUCAGUAGCUGCAUUUGGACGGAGGGAUUUGACAAAGAAUUUGAAAACCUCUCAAAUCUUUUUUAUUGUUUACAUUAUUUAAGAGGCACUCAGAUUCAUAAAUCGACAAUUAUUCUAGUAUUUUUAAAAUAUAUUUAGAUAAUUGAUGAAUUAUAAAACUAAAUGUACUUUUACUGAUCCAAACAACUAAAGCAAUUUUGGUAAAUUUCAAAUCUCUCAUUUUCAUCCUAGGGAGUAAUAUAUCAUAUGUUUAGGAAGUACAGAAAGAUGAAAUGACAUGGGAAUUAAUCACACGCAGACCAGUCUGAUAAAGAAAAUGUAGUGUCACAGCAGCCUUAUACUGAAGGCAAAGCCUCCAAUUUAAUUAUGUUGAGAUCAGGCAGUUGCUUCUUAUUAGGCGUAGUAGAGCUUGUUACAUGAUCUUGCAACAUGCAUAUGCCUUGAGGAUGAAGAGCAUGGCUCAUCCCAAUUCCAUGUGAUUUCAAGGGAUCCGAAGAGCUCAGCACUGAGAUUAAAACAAGCGGACAAAGAUUAAAACAAUUCAUUCUGAUAACUUCUAACAAAGAAAGACUGAUCAUUUGGCAGUAGAAUUUACCGCGAUACGCUUUUUUAACGCUGCUAAAAACUCCUUUGGAUCAGCUUUUGUCACUUUAUAAGCCUCAAUCUUAUCAAUUUCCUGUUGCAGAAGCAAGUUAAAUAGGUAAUAACCAACUAAACUGCUUCCAGUCCCAACAACAAAAAAAAAUGCAAUGAACCCUUGAAGAUGUACUCUUCUCCUAACCAAGGGAUUGUACAGAAUUUCACUUUCAGAUCAAGGAUAUCAUAUCAGCAUGAAAUUCAAAAGCAACUAUGUGUAUGAAUGCAAGUGGAAGAUUCCUAUCUCCAAGCAUGCCCCAAUUUCUUUAUGGUAUAGUCAUUUCAAUUCAUGCCUACUUGGAGGAUCAUUAACAUACUUAACUACAAACAGGAGCUGCAUGUAAAUAAUGCUUCCAGUUUAUUCCUGAUAAUUUUGUACAUAAUUUUGCAUGGGGAAAGUCUAAGAAAUUCUGUGAUUACCUCAAUCCAAGCUGCCAGUUUUGGCCUGCCCUCUGUAACAUCGUACUUCUUCACAUCCGACGCGAAGAGUUGGAACCUUUCAACAAAGGGCGCAUAAGCUACAUCCACCUGAAUUUGCGCAGAGAAAAAGAUGAAUCAACCUAUGCUUCUUCAAGAUAACAUAAAUACAACUUCAUAUCCCUAUCAUAAUGCUUGACGGAAGAACUUCAUUAACAAGGUAUAUGUGAACAAAUAGAAGUUCCCAAUUUUGCUCUUACAAGACUGAAAGUUCCGAGGAAGAAGGGACCAUCAUCGAAUUUGCCAAGGGCAUUCUCGAGGUAAUCAAAAGCAGCACCUGAUCAAAUAAUGCACUUUAGCAUCAAAGUUUACAGGAAUUAGCAGCCAAAAUACAUGAUCACUCAACUUACCAACUUCACCGAUUCCAUCUGCUCUGAAAGAAGAAAAUCCAGCUCCAUUAAAGGAGUCGGAGUAGGACAACAAAUGUUCUGCAAACUCUCUCUUAGCGGGGUCCUACAUAUUUGGUCAGAGAACUCAAAAUACAACCCACUGCAGAAUGCAGACUAAGAGCAGCCAACUUAGCUCACCAAAAUUUAACUAGAAAAUUGUUAUGAAUCUUACGUUAGGAAGAAGUGAAGGACCUUCAAAGUUUUCAUCGAGAUAUUUGAUUAGAUCAAGAGACUCUCCUUUGACUUCAUUAUUAUGUACCAGAGCUGGCACCUGCUUGAUAAUGGAGCAUAAGAAAAACCCCAUGUGAUUGAUACAAAGUAAACUACAUGUAAUAAUUGGCUGCUGAAAUGAGAAAUGAAACUUUCAUCUCAAUUUCAAAUAUUAGGUACAGUUGGUUAUCAAGAAAUCUAUACAUAUCAGUCCACAGGAAUUAUUUAUAAACCAAUUGAAAUUUCCAGGCUGACGCAAGCAGCCAUGGCUCCUCAAACAGUACAAAAGUUUCUGGCUGGUUUUUGUGAACAUUUAGCAUGAGUCUGAUAUUGCCGCAGAACAAUUAGCAUCAGAGAUCUCACACAACAUGGUGAAAUUAAAUAAUACCCAACCUUGUUUGCUGGGUAAACUUUCUCCUUGUACCAGGCUGGCCUAUUCUCUAGGUCCAUAGCGAUCAAUUUUAUUUUAUCUUGCAAUCCCUGCAAACGCAAAUCAGAAAUUCACAAAUCUGAUUAUUAGAUCAAGCAGAAUCACCAAGGUCCACAAGAAGUCCCCAACAAACCUUAUAAUUCCUUGUGAUCCACACACGUUGUGCAUACGGGCAUAUGUAGGCUGUGAACAACCUAAUAUCAAGAAAUGAAAUAUCGUAGUGUCAAAAUAUUAUCAUACUCAAACGAACAAUAGUCACUGUAAGAUUUCCAUGUUGUGAUCCAAAAAUUUUGGAAAUGACCAAAAAUUUCGGUUUCUUCCAGUUCGAUGCACAUAUUGUUGAGAUUUUAUCCAUGUCCCUCGUUGAUUCUCAGUUCAUGUGUAGGCAGGUUAAUAACUUUUUGAUCUAAAUCACUGGGCCAAAAUGCUUAAUCCAACUUUACUAAUAUCCUUGAUCAAUCCGAUGUAAGAUGCAGGCCACUUGCAUUAAAAUGAACCAAACUGAGACAAAGUCAAUAAAACAAGAAAAAGCGGUGCCAUUGAUGAUUCUCUUGGGAUUAAGCACUCACUUGGUGGUUCCGUCAAAGAUGUCAGGAGGUGGUUCUGAGGAAGAAUCAAGCGAAGGUGGAAGCACCUCUUUGACACUACGAAAACAAAACAUACCCAAAUCAGUAACAAGAUCCAAAAUUAAACACACCGAAGCAUUCAAGAUAAAGAAGAAACAGUGAACAAACAAAAGUUGGGAUUUAAUUACCCAGAAGCCAUUGCUGAAGCUGACAGCGAAGAUAUUCCGAAAACUUUUUAUCUUGCAAAGGAAGAAUUGGAUGGUGGUAGCAGUAGCAGUAGUACAAGGAUUCUUAUAUUGCCAUGAUGAUUGCUUAAUUUCAAAGUGGCCACAUAACAUUCAUAUUUUUCACGUGUGUUUGCAUCCCAAAAUCGUGCUUUGACUACUUGAAAUGCGGACUGUGUUGCAAAUCUUCGGAUCUGAACAACUGAUAGCCAUCCAUUAAGUGAUAGACCAUCUGGUCUUGGGGUUCAUCCGGAACUCCAAGUCUAGUGGUCGAAUCCCACUUAACUCCGGGUGCGUUUGGGGUGGCGGUGUACUUGGGUGCAAAGGAUUAGUCGGGCCGCCUUCGGGUCUUGACCCGAACACCCCUGUAUUGACAAAAAAAAAAGAUAGCCAUCCAUUAAGAAUUUAAGAUGUAGGUCAGGUAUUAAAUUUUUUAAAAGAAAAAAAAUUAAUUAAGAAAAGUAUAUAUAGAUAUAAAAUAAAACAAUAAUAAUUAGUGUGUGCAUUCAAUAAUUAAAGACCCUACUUUCUCUUCAUUAAAGAAAAAGGCCAACUCCUGUAUGUAGGUUGGUAAGGUUGGUAUCUCUUUUUUCUUUUUUUUUUUUGACAAAUUAUUGGCUAAAAUACUUUUUAAAAAAUUCUCAAAUUUUGGUACUAUUUUGGGAUUUUUUUAGUGUUACUUAUUGAAAUUUUUUUUGCACAAAAAUUAAUUAUUUUUUUUAACCGACUCAAAAAGCAUGCAUGUAAUUUUUUUCAUGUAGUGGUACGCAAAAAUCGUGAAGUCAAAGGAGAUUGGUAACAUAUUACAAAGUUGCUAGCUGAAAAAUAAACUCUUGAAUAGUAGAUGGACACAAGAACAAAGAACACAUUGGAGAGACCUUGGAUACAUACAUUUUUUUUUUGUUUGCUUUAAUUUCCUUAGCUACACAUACAUUUAUGUGUGUGUACGUACAUAUCUACAUAAUCUCAAGUCCCAAAAAAAAAAAAAAAAAAAAAAGGAAAACACCUUCUUGUACAUUUCCCGACGUUAGGAUAAUGAUAAUUUUGUCUAAAGUUCUAAUACGUAGAAAUAUAAUAGAGGCAAUUUCGAAACAUUUGUAAUUUGUAACAAUCAAACAUAAAUUUUGACCAAUGAGGGGGUAAGGUGCUCAAAAUUAAACAUUAGAGGGUAAAGUAGUUUUGAGAGCAAGCAUUAAGAGCAUUUACUGCCAUAGUUUUUACAAGAAAUCUAUUUCCAGGAUUGCUAUCCAUGCAACCAAAGUGAGAACUAAGUGAUUAUUUGGAGGAGGGAUGAAUUGGGUGAUUUUGAGGAAUGGAGUGUAAGUUUCGGGUUUCGGGUUUCGAGACCUUCUACUUAUGCUAAAAAAAAAAGUGAUUUAUUAUAUUAUCAUUUGUGUUUCCAUCAGUAACAAUCGCAAAUUUGGCUGGCAUAGGAAUCGAAUCCGCAGACAGGUCUUGCCUGAUGACUUGGUCUCCAAGAAGAAUUUUAACAAUUUGCAAAUUUAAUUCAGUUGGUGAUUCUUGCUGUUUGAGGUAUCUUGAGAAAAGAAUUCAACAGCUGUUAAGUGCUGCUGCUACGUGUAAGCAUCAUGCUCCCAAACUCAAAGCAUCUAUUGCCAAACCCAAACCCAAACCCAUUUUUAUGUAGUAGAUCCGAAUUCGAUCCGUAUGUCCGACGGGUCUUGACCUUUGAGUCUCGGAACUAGGUCCAGGUUUACCAGAAAAGAAAAAGUUCAAAGUUAAACAUUUUAAAAUUAAAUCCAAAACCAAUCAUAAAUCCAAUAAAUCAAUUUACAAAGUCAUUACUAAAUUAUUAAUUUGGUAAAAGAAUGUAUGUAGAAAUAUUUAUAUUUUAUAAUUACUAAUAUAUUGUUCGGGUCCGGAUCGAAUAUUGGUCGGAAUCUUAUAUUCUGUAUCCGACCCCUUCUUUUUGUUAGAGUAAACAGGUCUGAGUCCGGGUAUCGGAAUUAUAUUUUUCAGCCCAAACCCGAAAAAAUUUAUCUGACCCGAGUCGGGUCUAGGUCCAAACCCGACCCAUUGACACGGUAAUGCUUCCAUUUGCCAUUACAUUGACGGACUUAAUAGUACUUCAAAACCUUAUUCAUGUUUCUUGCCAAGGACUAAUAUAUCAUGCUACGGUCAAAUGCACAAGAAGAUAAAAGGACACAGUAAAUUCUCUACAGACCAGCCGGAUAACGAAAAUACAGGUGUUACAACCUUAAACUGAAUACAAAAAGUAUAGAUGUUAAAUAUAACAAUAAUAUGUCUAUUGACUUGAGACAGUUACUCUUGUGACAGGCGCUUGAGAUGUGAUCCAGCAACAUGCUUAUGCCUUGAUGAUGAAGAGUGUAAUUAUCCCAAUUCCAUGCGAGAUCAAGGGAUCCGAAGAGCUCAGAACAGAGCCUAGAUACGAUUAUAAAGGUCAAAGAAAUUCAUCCUGAGGAACUUCUAGCAAAGGUUGAAUCUGUAACAAAACAGAAAUCAUUUGCUAGCAGAAUUUACCUUAAAACGUCUUUUCAGAGUUGCUAAAAGCUUGUCAGGAUCAAACUUUGUCGCUGUAUAAGCCUUAAUCUUAUUAACUUCCUGUAAGAGUGAAACGAGUAGGUAACAAACAACUCAAGUGCUUCCAGUCCCAAGGAAAAUGCAAUGAGCUCUAAAGUAUGUACUCCUCUCUUAACCAAAGUGAUGUGUCAACAAUAGUGCAAAAUAUCACAUUCAGAUCAUGGAUGCCAUGAUCGGUAUGGAAUUCAAAAAAAAAAUGAUACGUAUGAAGAUUAUUCUGUCCAAUAUGCCGAACUGUUUUGUGAGACCAAGUCAUUUCACUACAUGCUUGGAGGAUCAUUAAGAAUUGAAGGACUUAGAUGACAAAUUAAGAUCUGCACUUGAACAAUGCUUCCAGUUUCUCCCUUAAAAUUUUUCUAAAUGAUUUUUGUAAGGGAGACUGCUAGUAGAUUCUUUGAGUACCUCAAUCCAUGCUGCUAGUUUUGGCCUGCCCUCUGUAAUAUCAUACUUCUUGAAAUCCAAUAGGAAUGGUUGGAACAUUUCAAUGUGUGGAGCAAAAACCAUAUCCACCUGAGUUCUUCAGGAUAUGAAUCCAACUUAUAGCGAAUCCAAACAUCAUUCUGAUUUCUUUUUUCAUAUCCCUUUCCGAAUGCUUGAAAGAAGGACUUCAUUCAAACACGAUCUACGUGAAAUUAAAAAAACUAUAGGGGUCCAUUGCACUUACCAGACUGAAUUGUCCAAGGAAAAAGGGACCAUCAUCAAAUUUGCCAAGGGCAUCCUCAAGGUAAUCAAAAGCAGCACCUGAUCAAAUCACCUACUUGAGUAUCAAAUAUGACAGGAACUAGUAGCCAAAAAGCCAUGAGCAUUCAACUUACCAGUUUUACCUGCUCCAUUUGCCAUGAAAGAAGAAAUUACACCUCCAUAGAAAGAGUUGGAGUAGGAAAGCAACUUUUCAGCGAACGCUUUCCUGGCAGGAUCCUGUAUAUUUAGUUAAGAGGACUUGGAACACAAGCUAUCGAAAAAUGCAGAUAAAAAGCCGCAAAUUUGCUCACUGAAAUUUAACAGAAAGAUGUUACUGUUAACAGGUAUCUUGGGAGGAAAACAUCUAGUCACAUAUUAUGAGUGACCAACUAGUAUUUAUAGGAGUACAAACCUAACCGACUAUUUACAAGAAUACCCUUACUAAUUUAUUAUCUAUAAGAAUACUAAUAUUCUCCUAACACUCCCCCUCAAGUUGGAGCAUAUAUAUCAUAAGCACCCAACUUGUUACAAAUGUAUUUCACCCUAGAGCCCCCUAAACUCUUGGUAAAUACAUCAGCCAAUUGAUCUACAGACGGUACAUGAGAUGUCUUGAUGACCCCGUCAAGCAAUUUCUCUCGAAUGAAAUGACAAUCAACUUCAAUAUGUUUUGUCCUUUCAUGAAACACUGGAUUAGACGCAAUAUGAACAGCCGCCUGAUUAUCACACACUAAAUUCAUAGGCUGUUUAUGCUCAAACCCAAGUUCCAGUAACAUGCUCUUCACCCAAACCAACUCACACACAGUGUGAGCCAUAGCGCGGUAUUCAGAUUCUGCACUUGAUCUGGAUACAACUGUUUGCUUCUUACUCUUCCACGACACUAAAUUACCACCAACAAACACACAAUAUCCUGUAGUCGAUCUUCUAUCUGAGGCAGAACCAGCCCAAUCUGCAUCACUAUAUCCUUCAAUAUCAGUGUGUCCAUGAUUUUGAUACAGCAACCCUUUUCCAGGAGCACUCUUAAGAUACCUGAGAAUCCGUAUAACAGCAUCCCAAUGACUAGUACGAGGGGUAUCAAGAAAUUGACUCACAACACUCACUGCAAACGAAAUCUCAGGUCUCGUUACAGUGAGAUAAUUUAAUUUACCCACAAGUCUUCGAUAUUGCUUAGGAUCAUCAAGUAAUGCACCUAGAUCUCCUGCUAAUUUCACAUUGGGAUCCAUAGGAGUAUCCACAGGUCGGCAACCUAACAUCCCAACUUCACUCAACAUAUCGAGUACAUAUUUUCUUUGACAUAAAUAAACCCCAUAUUUAGACCGAGCUACCUCAAUACCCAGAAAAUACUGUAGAUGACCUAAAUCCUUUGUCUGAAAGUUUGCCUGCAGAUUGGAUUUAAGUUUCUGGAUCCCCACAACAUCAUCACCUGUAAUCACAAUGUCAUCCACAUAAACAACUAAUAAAAUUUUACCAGCAUUAGAAUGCCGAUAAAAUACAGAGUGAUCUACUCCACAUCUUGUCAGACCGAACUCCAUGACAACACUACUAAACCGGCCAAACCAAGCCCUCGGAGACUGUUUCAAUCCAUAUAAGGAUUUUUUCAAACGACAAACCAACCGCGGAUUCUCCCCCUGAACAACAAAUCCAGGAGGUUGUUCCAUAUAUACCUCUUCUUUCAAAUCUCCAUGCAGAAAUGCAUUUUUCACAUCCAACUGAUGCAAUGGCCAAUUAUAAGUGGCUGCCAAAGAGAUAAGAAGACGAACAGAGGUAAUCUUUGCAACAGGAGAAAAAGUUUCUAAGUAAUCUACUCCAUACACCUGAGUAAAUCCUCUAGCUACCAGCCGAGCCUUCAAUCUAUCAAUAGAACCAUUAGGCUGCACUUUUAUAGUGUACACCCAUUUACAACCAACAACAGGCUUACCUGAAGGACGAGGGACAAGAUCCCAAGUACCAUUUUGUUCCAAAGCAGACAUCUCUUCUUGCAUAGCUAAUCUCCAACCAGGAUGAUUAAGAGCAUAGGUAAUAGACUUAGGAAUGGAGAUAGAAUCAAGAGAAGCAACAAAAGAAGAAUAUGACAUAGAGAGACGAGAAUAAGAAACAAAAUUAGAAAUAGGAUGGGAAGUACAAUGUCUCUUACCUUUGCGUAAAGCAAUAGGAAGAUCUAACUCAGAGGAGGGCGUCAUACCUGGAUUUGAAGAUUGAGAGUUAAUUGGUGAAGUGCGUGGCAUAUCAGGAACUUUCUCAACCAUGGAACGACGAGAGUAAACUUGAAGAUGAGGACGAGAUAAUCGAGCUAUGGAAUCUGGUGGACUAGACAACUCAGGUAAUAAAGGGGAAGGGAUUGGUAAAACAGGAGAGGAAAAAGAGGGACACUGGUCUAAUUCACAAGACAUACUUUGCUUGAUAAAAUACGGAGUGGAUUCAAAGAAAGUAACAUCAGCACAAGUAAAAAAUCGAUUUAAAACUGGACUGUAACAUCUAUACCCUUUUUGCGCUCGUGCAUAUCCUAAGAAAAUACACUUAAUAGCACGAGAAUCUAAUUUAUCCAUCCCUGGAGCAAGCUGAUGAACAAAGCACACACAUCCAAAAAUACGAGGAGGCAAUUUAAACACAGGUUCAUGAGGAAAAAGAAUGGAGUAAGGUAAUUGACCUCCAAGAAUAUUAGAUGGCAUGCGAUUAAUUAAAUAACAUGCAGUUAGAACUGCAUCACUCCAAAAUUGUUUGGGCACAUUCAUGUGCAACAACAGUGUUCGAGCAAUUUCGAUUAAAUGCCCAAUUUUUCUUUCAGCAACUCCAUUCUGUUGUGGAGUGUGAGGACAAGAGGACUGAUGAAUAAUACCAGACUUAGUCAUAAAGGUAUUAAAAGGAGUGGAAAAAUAUUCUUUCGCAUUAUCACUGCGAAGUAUACGUACAGGCACACCAAAUUGAUUCUUUAUUUCUGUAACAAAUGCACAAAAAAUGGAAUAUAAUUCUGAACGAUCUUUCAUUAAAUAAAGCCAUGUAACUCUGGAAAAAUCAUCAACAAAGACUACAAAAUAUUUAAAACCUAACUUUGAAGUGACUCGACUAGGACCCCAAACAUCAGAAUGAACUAACAAAAAAGGUUCAGAAACCCGUUUAUUGACUCUAGGAGCAAAAGAAACACGAUGAUGCUUUCCUAACUGACAAGACUCACAUUCUAACGAAGAUAAUUGAUUCAAAGUAGGAACCAACUUUUUCAAAUUUUGUAAAGACGGAUGACCUAAACGACAGUGAAUUUCAAGAGGAGAAACAGUAGCAGGACAUGCUAUCGGACCAUUGAAGUUGAGAAAAUAAAGACCAUUAUGCUCAUGCCCUCCACCAAUCGUCCUCUUUGUCUUCAAAUCCUGAAUGACAACAGAAUCAGGAGAAAAAGUAACUGUACACUGUAAAAAUUUAGUGAGCUUACUAACAGACAUUAGAUUAAAUGGCAAAUUGGGUACGUAAAGAACAGAAGACAGCGGAAGUGAUGGAUUAAUUUCUACAGUGUCUAGUCCUUUAACUUUAGUGGUAGAUCCAUCAGCUAAAGUAACAUGAAGAAAGGGAGUAGACUCUUGAAAAUUAGAAAAAAUUUUAGAGGUACCUGACAUAUGAUCAGUAGCCCCGGAGUCAAUAAUCCAUGAGUCAUUACCUUUUUGUGCUAAAGAAGCAGAGGGAAGAGAUGCGUGAUUUGUAGCUUGGUACUGUAAGAAUUUAACAUAAUCUUCCUCGGAUAUAGUAACAGUUUUCUGGGACCCAUGUGCUGAAGAACUUGAUUCAACUUGAUCAGUGGUAACCCCAUUAGCAAAACUUUCAACCAUAGCGAAUAGCACUUCAAACAAAACAGCAAUCAAAAUUCGCGAUGAACAGUGCGCCGUGAACAGUGCGUCGUGAAUAGUACCGCGUGAACAGUGCGCGAUGAACUGUACGCGCGAUGAUGAACAGUGCGAGUGAACAGUGCGCGAUGAACAGUAUCGCGUCAAGACUUUUGCUAGAUAUUUAACCCUAACCCUAGGACUUUUGCUCUGAUACCAUGUUAACAGGUAUCUUGGGAGGAAAACAUCUAGUCACAUAUUAUGAGUGACCAACUAGUAUUUAUAGGAGUACAAACCUAACCGACUAUUUACAAGAAUACCCUUACUAAUUUAUUAUCUAUAAGAAUACUAAUAUUCUCCUAACAGUUACCAAUCUUACAUCAGGAAGAACUGAAGGACCUUCAAAGUUUUCCUCGAAAUAGUUGAUUAUUUCAAUAGAGCCUCCUUUAACUUGAUUGUUGUCGGCACCUGCUUUGAUAAUAGAGCAUAAGAAGAGCUCCAAAGUAUAAAAUUAACUACGUGCAAUGAUUAGUAGCUGAAAAUAGACUAUAAUCUCAAAUUUGAGUAAUAGGUACAGUUUGUUAUCAAGAAAUUUGUCCAGAUCAGUAAAUAAGUUCCCGAAACAAGGAAAAAAAAAAGUUCAGGCCAGUUUUUGUGGAUAUUAACAUGAGAUUGAUAUUGUUGUGGAGUAUUAUUAGCAUAGCGCAAGUAAAUAUCUAACCCCGUUUGCUGGGUAAAGCUUCUGCUGGUACCAGGCUGGCCAACUCUCUAGGUCAAUAGCAAUCAGUUUUACCCUAUAUUGCAAUCCCUGCUCCAGAAAAGAAUAUAAAAUGCAAUUCAGGAAAUUCAGAAAGCUGAUAGAUUAGACCAAGCAGAAUUAUUAGGGUCAACAAGAACUCCUUGACAAACCUUGUAAUUCCUUGCGAUCCAUGCUGCUUUUGCAAACGGGCAUAGGUAAGCGACGAGCAACCCAAAAUCAAGAAACGAUACAUUUUUGAGUAUCAAAAUAUUAAGCUUGAAUGGACAAUAGUUAAUGAAGAUUUUCGUGUUGUGAUUUCUGAACCGUAAAUAUUCCAACCAACCAAAUUAUCCAUUUCUUUCAGUCCCGGUGGCAUAAUGUUAAACUUGUAAAACUUGUUUUUCUCAUAUGAAAUAGUAUGACUUAAAGCCAACACGACCUUGUAAAAUGAGCCACAGUCGGCAUCUCAAUGCAAAAUUCUUGAUCCGCAUCUCAAGCUCAACUAGGACCAUAGAUGCCUUGAUUUCCAAUUCCAAGCAUAUAUAAUAGCAUAUCCGAGAUGAGAAGUGUCACCGUGUCCCACACCCAAACAAAAGUAUUGAUCUACUAUUGGACCGUUGUCCCGUUUACCUUAAAAAUCAAGUUAUUCCCUCUAACCCUCAAGCAUUAGAGUCGGUAUCAAACCAUCAAAGCGAGGGCCAAUGUUGUUGGGAUGUAUCUAGACAAGGAACUGCACGAACUGAAUGAUUUGCAGAGCUAAGUGGCUUAAACACUACAGCCAUGUAAAGGCCUCCUAGAAUCUCCAGCUCGAGUUACAUAAAUAACGAGACAAGUCCGGAUCACGGGCCUAGCUUCGUGAGGGUGCAAAGUCCCAAAAGGGUGGUCAAUCUCUCCACCCCCGGGUCCUAAAGAUGCAGGGCCAUUGCAAGGAAAACGCUGAAAAGAACCAAAUUGAAAGAAAGUAAAUCCCAACGAAUAAAAGCUGGUGAUAUUGGUUCUACGUUUGAUUAAGAACUUUCUUGGAGGUUCUAUCAAAGAUGUCAGCAGGUGGUUUUGAGGAAGAAGUAACUAGUAAGAGCAGGUGGAGGCACCUCUUUCACACUUUGAAGACAAAACGUGUCAGAAUCUGUAACAAAUCCAAAAUCGACAACAGCAGAGUAUCCAACAUAAAGAAGAAACAUGGAACAGGCAAAGUAUCGAUUUAAGUACCCAGAAGCCAUUGCUGAAGCUGAUUGUGAAGAAACUCUGAAAACUUUGUUUAGACAGUGAAGAUUUGGACGGUAUAGGAAUGGGAUUCUGGACAUGGUAUAAAUAGAAAACAGCAGAUGAAAGUUCGAGGCGUUGAAUCAGGAGGGAAUGAAGUUAUUCGAAUACAAAUAUUACGUGUGCACUGAUAAUUGAUGUUGGAAACUUUUCAAAAUUUGUGUGACGUACAUACAUGUAAUUUUAAUGUAUAUUCAUUCAUGUUUUGAUACAUGUAUAGUAUUGUGAAUGUUUCUAAAAUGUACAUUUAUCUAUGAAUGUGUUCAUGUAUAUGGGAAUCCUUGAAUGAAAGGAUAGAUUCAUGAUUUAAUCUUAAGAUCAUGAGAUGCAUGAAUUAAAGUACAUGAAUUUGUACACAAUACUUUGAAUCUAUUCAUACAAGUAUUUAAUGAGUUCCUUUGUUUCUUAAACAAUCUUCCUAUAUAAAGAGGUCAAGUAGAGAGUGGUUUGCUGCAGAAAAUCACUUUCCUACUAUUGUAUACUCUCUCAAAAGCACUCCUUAGUUCAAAAGGGUUUGUAUUGCACAAAGAGUGUAAGACAAACAAACUUCAUCUUAUCCUAAAGGAUAUUUAUCCAAUGUUUUUGCACGUUAUACUGGACAAAUAAAGCCUAAAGAAAAGUGAUUUUCGAUCACGAUUUGAAGCCAAUUCUUGUCACAACAUUUGCCAGUUCGUUGCAAUUAUUCCCAACAAUUGAUAACGUCCAAGUUGGCCAUAUUAUUAUUCAUGACAAGGGCAGCUAUUCAAAAGCUAGCAGGCUCUUUUACUUUUAUCCAACACAAGCUGGGAUAGGUGAUAAGUCCAAUUUAGCACCUGAAAUCUAUGGAAGUAUCUAAAUUGAGCCCCAUUCAUGAAUCUAAAUUUUGUUAUAUUGAGCCCUCGUAACCAUUUCUUGUUAUAUAUUUUCAAUUUGCAGUACUUUAGAUGUCAAAAAUUGCUUCCUUUCUAUUGCUCUAUUUUAUGAAAUUGUCUUAGUUUGACUUUAGGUAUAAGGAGUGAAAUCUGAAAAUUAUACAACUCAAGAAAAAGAGCUAACUCUAUUUUCUAGAAGGCGCAUUUCGUAGUUCUUUUCUUUCUAGAAAGCACAUAAGAGGUCAAGAAAUUUGCCAUAAACUAACAUAUUGGGUCCAUUUUCAAAGUCAAGAUAUUUGCCAUAAAUAGCAUAUUGGGUCCGUUUUCAAAGUCGCGUAAUCGAACACUACAAAUUCAUAGACGUCUGCCUUCCAGUUCCAGCACCCUCAUGACUUUUUAGUUACAACAAUGAGCAAAGCAUCAUCAAAUUUGAGGUUCGGAAACUUGUGGGUUUUGGGGUGGUGGACUUGGAAGUCAGCUGCCAAAGGAAGCAACUCAGCUCAGUUGCAGGGUUUUAUUUCUGUCAUUCAUGCAUGUACUAAUAGAAAGAUGACAUUUUUAAACGUAUACUUUGGUUACAGAUAUGUCUCGUACCGAGACAAACUGCGAUAGCAGUCUAAGAAGGCGGAGCUGCACCAUAUCAGGCGGGAUUGCAUUGCCUGGUUCUAAUUCUUCAGGCUUCUGGUGUUUCUUGUUCCUACUUCAAGAAAGUCCAGUUACAUAGGAUUUAACCUUCGAGCAUGAACCAUCCUCAACCUAAAAGGGAAAAAACAUUACCUGUUGGUUUUUUUUCAUGAUAACCGGUCUAGAUUUUUGGGCCAGUCGCUACCAAUUGUAAUCAAACUAGCAAAAACGUUACGAGUUGACAGGGAAAUUGAGUAGUGAUCAUUGCUUCGUCAGAAAAGGACGCAACAGUUUCUCUUUCAAGCGCUGCUCGUACAUGUAAACUCUUUACUGCUAAAGCACUAUUCCCAUUACAUCUUAUUAUUUCAUUUUUUGACUCGAAAAACUCGAAUCUUGAUCACAUUCCGGACAUAUGGUCUACUGGCAAUAGAUAGAAAUUGACACCUCCAAUUACUCACAAAAUUUUUGUGGCACUUCUAACAUUAGUAAGAAAUAAUUAUGAGGCUUUAGAAACAAGAAUAAGGAGAUGCUUCCAUUACAUUGAAGAUGUUGCAGUAGUUGAAAACCUUAUAAAAGUAUUGUCAAGGUGUAGCAUAGCUCAUCAUGGAAACACACAACGAUGAAAGAGCAUAAAAGUUGAAUGUAGACCAGUCUGAUGAGAAAAAGUAGUAUUACAACCUUAAACUGAAUGCAAGACAAAGUUGUAUUACAACCUUAAAAUGGAGGCAAAGCUGCCAACAGUACAGAAUGUAGAUGCAAUAACGUUUAUUGACAUCAAACACUUAGAAAGCAAAGCCGCAAAACAACACAGAAUGUAGACAUAAACAAAGUUUAUUUACAUCAGGCAGUUGCUCCUUGUUAGGCAUAACGCUUGAGAUAUGAUCCUGCAACAUGCAUAUGCCCUUGAAGAUGACGAGCGUGAUUAUCCCAAUUCCAAGUGAUUUCAAGGGAGCUCAGGCCUGAGGCCGGACACGACUACAAACAUUAGAACAAUGCAUCCCAAGAACUUCUAGCAAAUCUCAUGAAAGAGUAUAUCAUUUGGCAGUAGAAUUUACCGUGUCAAGACCGAAACGUCUUUUUAAGGCUGCUAAAAGCUCGUUUUGAUCAUAUUUUGUCGCUUUGUAAGCCUCGAUCUUGUUAACUUCCUGUAAAAGUAAAUGAAGUAGGUAGUAAUCAACUUAAGCGCUUCCAGUCCCAACAGACUGCAAUGAGCUCUGGAACAUGUACUCUUUUCUUAACCCAAGUGAUGCGUCGAAAGCAGUGCAGAUAUUAGAUUCAGAUCGAUGAUACCACAUCACUAUGGAAUUUAUGAAUAAAAGUGGCAGAUUACUGUGUCCAAAGAUGCCUCAAUUGCUCUAUCAGACCAAGUCAUUUCAAUUGGUGCCCACUUGGGAGGAUCAUUAAGAAUUGAAGGACUUGAUGACAAACGAUAUCUGCACUUAAAUGGCACUUCCAGUUUCUUUCUGACUAUUCUCUACAUGAUUUUGCAUGGGGAACUACUAGUAAGUUCUGUCAGUACCUCAAUCCAUGCUGCCAGUUUUGGCCUGCCCUCUGUAAUAUCAUACUUCUUCACGUCCAGCAGGAAGGGUUGGAACCUUUCAACAAAUGGAGCAUAAGCUACAUCCACCUGAGUUUGCAAAGGGAAAAGGAUGAAUCAACCUAUCAUUCUUCAAGAUAACAUGAGUACAACUGAUAGUGAAUCCAAAUACCAUUGUAAUUUCUUUUUUUUUUAAUAUCCCUUUCGUAAUGCUUGACAGAAGAACUUCAUUUAAACAAGGUAUAUGUGAACAAAUAGAACUCCCAACUUUUUGCACUUACCAGACUGAAAGUUUCAAGGAAAAAAGGACCAUCAUCGAAUUUGCCAAGGGCAUUCUCAAGGUAAUCAAAAGCAGAACCUAAUCAAAUCACACACUUCAGUAUCAACUUUUACAGGAAUUAGUAGCCAAAAGCCAUGAACACUCAACUUACCAACUUCACCAAUUCCAUCUGCUCUGAUAGAAGAAAAUACAGCUCCAUUAAAGGAGUCGGAGUAGGACAACAACUCUUCUGCAAACUCUCUCUUAGCAGGGUCCUACAUAUUUAGUCAGAGAACUCAAAUAAAAACACAAGCUAUCACAGAAUGCAGACUAAAAGCAGCCAACUUAGCUCACCGAAAUUUAACAGAUAAAUGUAAUGAAUCUUACCUCAGGAAGAAGUGAAGGACCUUCAAACUUUUCAUCCAGAUAUCUGAUUAGAUCGAGAGACUCUCCUUUUACUUCAUUAUUAUGUACCAGAGACGGCACCUGCUUGACAGUGGAGCAUUGGAAAAGCCCAACAGAGUACAAACUAAAUUCACAUGCAAUGCAAUAUGAUUUGCUGUUGAAAUUUGACUUUCAUCUCAACUUCAAAUCAUGCCUUGUACGUUUUGUUAUCAAGAAAUUUCUUGGUAUCAUAUUUCGUUGAUAUUAUUUGUCAACCAAUUAAGAUUUCCAGGCCUGACGCAAGCAGACAUAUGUUCUUCAAGCAGUAAAUAAUUCUUGCCGAGUUUUUCUGAACAUUUAGCAUGAUUUUGGUAUAGCUAUACUCUAUAGUUAGUAUCAAAGACCUCAUGCAGCAUAGCGCAAUUAAAUAUUCAACCUUGUUUGCUGGGUAAACUUUCUCCUUAUACCAGGCUGGCCUAUUAUCAAGGUCAACAGCAAUCACUUUUAUCUUAUCUUGCAAUCCCUGCUCCAUAAAAGAAUAUAAACACAAAUCAGGAAAUUCACAAAGGUGAUAGAUUAGAUCAAGCAGAAUCACCAGGGUCCAGAAGAACUCCCCAACAAACCUUGCAAUUCCUUGUGAUCCACACACGUUGUGCAAACGGGCAUACGUAAGCUAUGAACAACCUAAAAUCAAGACAUGAAACAUCUCUGAGUUUCAAAUUAUUACUGUAUAAUUCCAUGUUGUCAUCCGAAGAUAUUCAAAACAACCAAAUUUUUUGUUCUCUAGGUUCCGAUGUAGAAAACAUCGAGAUUUCAUCCACGUCCCAUAUUGAUUCUCAGUUCAAAGCUAUCAAAGUUGUUCAUCUCAAAUACAAUAUCACUGAAGGCCAAUACAGGCUUCUAACAGUAGUCAUGGUUAGCAACUCAAUUCUCAACCCAAAAUUCUUGGUUGGCCAUCUCAAAGUUAGAUCAGGACAUUAAAAACCUUGACAAACAUCUUUGAUCGAUCCGAUGUAAGACGCAGGCCAGUUACAACAUACAAGGUAAAAAAGAGAAAAGAACCAAACUCAAAUAAAGGAAUUCCCACCAAGUAAAGCUGGUGCUAUCGAUUCCACUGGCAUUAAAGAACUUACUUGGUGGUUCCAUCAAAGAUGUCAGCAGGAAAUUCUGAGGCAGGAUCAAGAGUGGGUGGAAGCACCUCUUUCACACUUCGGGAACAAAAACAUACCACAAUCAGUAACAAAAUCCGACAUAAAAAACAGCAAAGUACAGACAAACAAAAGUCUUAUUUCAAUUACCCAGAAGCCAUAACUGAAGGUGAUGGUGAAGAAACUCUGUAAAAAUUUUGUCUUGAAAGUGAAGUUCUGUAUGGUAUGCAAAUGUGGAUUUUGGACAGAGUAUAAAUAGUCGAAGGAGAACAACAUUCGAGGCCUUAAUGAAUCAGCACCGAUGAAUCGAGUCCUCGUGGAAAUGUAUGGUUCCAGGAUAAUUGAUUAUGUUCAAAGUGGCCCAUACAACAUUCACCUUUUUCUAAAGCCAGUCGGGAUUGCUUUGACAUUAAAUAUUAACACAACCGAUUGACAUUUGACAGAUAGUUGUUACCCACUUUUAAUUAUUACAGCAAAGACUUGGUGACGAGGGACAAUGGAUUAAUAUGAGGCCAACAUCCAGAAAGAAUCCAAACACCAAAUAAAUCGAGCUUUGGAAUAAUCUUUGUAUCAAACUUGUGUAGUAUAUCAUUUCUUGGGGGGAUGGUUUUGCAGAGAGCAACAACAUAUUUGAAUGGAGAGAUUUAUUGAAUGGAAGUACGAAGAAAUUCUAGAAGAAGCAUAUAAGAUGUCAACAUAAUCGCCAUAUCCGCGAAUUUAAACUAAAACAUUGCCUACCUUCGUGUUUGUAUGAUGGCUUUACGAAUCAAAGUAUUCUUCUUGAACUAUUGUAGCAUGGCUUGAUACUUCGUUGGAAAAAGACUUGGAACUACAGAAGUGGCUUUAUGUUUGCUCACCCACACAUGACGCGCUAUAACCUAGCAAAAGUUUUAAAAUAUUAUUUAUCUAUUUGGUACUUUAAUAAGGUCAUUGUGUACAUCAUUGUUGAUUUAUUUUAUUUUAUUUUAUUUUAUUGACAAAAGGGUGGAUCUCUUUUGCAAAAAUGUCAUAGUUAUGAGGUCGAUUGUAACCGUAAAACAUUAACACUGGGCCCACUUUCAUUUUUUUGUUUAAUAUGCUUAAAAUUUUCCUUUUAUAUAAAAUGUUUUGAGUGAAUUUGAGGAAUUUUAUAAAUUGAUUAGAAUGUUUGAUUUUUUGUUUGUUGAGAUUGAUGGCUUGAAAAUUAGAAAAACAGAAAGAGUUUAAAAUUGUAGUUAAAAUUAAUUUGAGAUGGUUUCAAGGUGCACAAAAAGUUAUUUUCUUCAUCUUUAUAGUAUUUUCUAUUGAUUUUUGCAUGUUUUUAUAAAUUAUUAGAAGUUGUAAAUUUUUAAAUUUUUUUUCCAAAUUAUAAAAUAAAAUCUAUUAAAGGAUCUCUUAACCCUAAUAAAAACUUAUAAUUUUUCAUCAAAGAAACAUAUCAGUCAACUUUUCAAAUGUUAAGAGAUUUGAAAUUAAUUUGUCGUGACAAUUAAGGGAUCAUAACAAAAGGGCUAUUUUGGAAUGAAAUUAUUUUUACUCUCUCAUAACUAAUUUUUAAUGAUAUAUUUUGAAUUGAAUUGAUAAUGUUACAAAACUUUAAAAAUAAGGGAGGCGAAUAACAUUUUUAAACUUUAAAGAUACUAAGUGAUAUUGUCAGAAACUUAUAGUUAUAGAGGAGGUUUCUGAAAUUAUCCCAUGAUCAUAUAUAUGUUCUGCCAACUAGUUGGCAUAUGAGGUUGGCAGACAAGUUCAUUUCCAAGCAUGGACAUAGUUUGUUAGGUUAAAACAAUUGCAGCAAGUCCUGCCCUGCCCAAAGGGUUUGUUUAGGUAUGGAAUUCUUUGCAAGAAAAUUUUUUGAUUGUAAACACAUUAUUAUUAUUUUUUAAAAUUAUUUUCUAAUUUCACAUCUAUCAUAUCAUAAAAAUUAUUAUAGUAUUAUUAUAAAAAGAAUUCUGAAUAAUCUCAUGUGUAGGUUUUUCUCUGUGGUUGCAAGACACUAUAGAUGAAUAUUUUGAAUGUUUGAUUUGUACCCCUUUAAUUUUGUGUUUGAUACUAAGCUGAGACUUGGGGUCUUUUCAUUUCAUUUUCUUCUUCUUCACUGGAAUUUAUUUUAAAAACACAAUGAUAAAUACAAAUAUAAAAAUUCUUGAAAAAUUAAGAAAUAGGUUAUAUUUAUCGUAUAAGUUGAUGUGUCACUUAAAAGUAGAUUUUUCUUUUCACUAAAACUAGAGACUUGAUCAACAUACGGUCAUGUACAACUGUGCAACAAAGGGAUAAGCAGAGCUCCAUAGACUCGCUAAAUUGCAGAUUCAUGAACGAUCAAGAAGGGAAAAAAGCAGCAUCCCCCCAGUCGUCUCCCAGCACUACUUGGGUUUUCAUCAUUCCUCCCUAUUACCACCGGUUUGAUAAGGCCACACACUUUACAGCCCAAGAAGCAAUCUAAAGGAGAGAAAUGCUGAAACGAUCAUCUAUAAGUACUAUAAUAGAAAGAUGCUUUUAUUAACUAGCAGUUGGAUUGGAAGACAAACUUCAAAAACCUCGUCCAAGUUUUCUGGGUAAUCUACCAAUUUUUGGGAAGCACGGACGCCUGAAAAGAUGUAUAGGUCCUAUCAAUCAAGAGAAUACCAAGCAUCCGUCAGUUGAGUAAAGAUAAAGCAGACUAUUAAGUCCGCAGAAGUUAUUCAAGCAGCUGCUCACAACCAGAAGACUUCUAACAAUGAUUACUGAGAUCAACUAGUGGCUUUUAUUACAGGUGUUACAGGCGAGGUACAACCUUGCAUCAUAAAAUUCCUCGGAGAUGACGAGUACACUUGUUCCAUUUCCAUGAAAUAUCUGGGGAUUGCGACAGCUCAAAACCGAGACUUCAUAUCAAAAGAGUUGGAUAAAAGUUAGAAGCAAUUCAUCCUUUAGCUCAUCAAAGUAGCUGAUAUGUGGUGGAAAAAUUUACCGAGAAACGCCUUUUGAAGGCUUCUGCAAGCUCCUUUGGGUCACGUUUUGUCACUUCAUAAGCCUCAAUCUUGUUAAUCUCCUGUAGAAGUAAUUUAACUAGGUUAUAACAAUCAACUGAAAGGAAGUACUUCUGUUACCUGCUGUAAGGGUGCCGCGUGCUAUAAAAGACGUACUCUAUCAUAAUAAAUGAUGUAUAAACCAUCACAGAGAAUACCAAAUCAAAAUCAAUGCUGAUUAAGAAAAGAAUUUAGUUUUGCAGAAUUGAUCAAGGGGUGGGUUAUUGAACCAACUUGCUUGUCUAAUAAUAAAAAUGGUGGAUAAUAUGUCCUAAAUCUCCCUGAUUUAAAAUCUAUUCAUGCAAUAUCCAGGUACAUAUGAGGUUUCUACAGAACGAAAUAUAUGUGAUUCUUUGUCGAUGAACGCUGCAAGUCAAACAUUACCAAGCUCAAAAAUCUCUUCCCCCCUAUCCAAGUUGCUUAUAUGAACACAAGAUCAUUACACUCAUGGAGGAUCACUAAAGAUUUUCAAGGACUGAAUGACAAGUAAAAUCGAUACUUUAUGCUGCCAUUUUUGGCCCGGUAAAUCUAUCCAUGUAGAACUAAAUUUUAUAGGCACCUGAAUCCAUGCUGCCAGUUUUGGCCUGCCCACUGUAAUAUCAUACUUCUUCACAUCCAACAAGAAGGGUUGAUACCUCUCAAUGAACGGAGCAUAAGCUAUAUCUACCUGAGAUUGCACAGAUGGAGCAUUUAGCACCCUAUGUUUGUUCAAUAUAUAGCAUGAAAUUUUAAAAAAUAAAAAAUAAAAACUCAAAAUCCAACCAACAUUAUAAAUCAUUUUCCAUUUGCAUAUCUGCUUCUUAUAACUUGACGGAAACACUUCAUUCCAAUCAUGGUGUUUAUCUCAAAUAUAAGUCCAAAGAUGAUACUUGCCAGACUAAAAGUUCCAAGGACAAAGGGACCAUCCCCAAAUUUGCCAAGGGCGUUCUCAAGGUAAUCAAAGGCAGCACCUAGUCAAACCACAUCCAUGGUAUCAAUUCUUCCAUGAAUUAUCAGUCAAAAAUCAUGAUCAUUGAUAUUACCAGCUUCACUAAUUGAAUCUGCCUUGAAAGAAGAAACCACAGCUUGAUUGAAGGAGUUGGUAUAGGACAGCAACUCUUCUGCAAACUCUCUCUUGGCUGGAUCCUACAGUUCCAGUUAAAACUCAAGCUAUUACAAAAUGCAGAUUAAUUAAGGAUCUUAAAGGAGCUCACUACAACUCAACAUUAUGAUGUUUAUGGAGAUCUUACGUCAGGAAGAAGUGAAGGACCUUCAAAGUUACCCUCCAGAUAUUUUAUCAGAUCAAGAGACUCUCCUUUAACUUCAUUAUUAUGUUCCAGAGAUGGCACCUGAAUGGGAAUAGAGCAGUAUAAGAUUCCUAAAGAAAUGUAGCAAUUACCAAGAGUAGUUGCGGUUGGUCAAAAGAGACUUUCUUUUCGACUUCAAGUGAACAAAUCAUCAAAUCCUGAUCAUUUGUGGGGCAGUUAAUGAUUCCAACUUCUGAUGCAAGGAGAGAUAUACAGUGCUUAAAGCAGGAAAUCAAUUCUGGCUGAGCAUGAUUAGUAUCAGAGAGCUAAUAUAGCAUAGAGCCAUUAGGUAAUCAACCUUGUUGGGUGGGUAAACUUUCUCCUUGUACCAGGCAGGCCUGUUCUGCAGGUCAAUAGGGAUCAGUUUUAUCUUAUCCUGCAAUCCCUACUCCAGAAAAGCGUAGAAACACCAAUUCAGUAACUCCAAAAAGUGUUACAGAAAAAUCAAAUCAAGUCCCUAGAACAAGGAUCGGGAACAGCUCCCCAAGCAACCUUAUAGUUCCUUGUAAUCCAUACACGUUGCGCAUAAGGGCAUGUGUAAGAUAUGUACAACCUAAAACCAAUGAAUCAAAACAUAAAAAAACGUCAAACUUAUGUGAAUAUAAUGACUGAAGGUAGUUCAAAUGUUCUAGAAAUAACUAAAUUUUGAAUUUGCCAAUUCCUCAUCUCAACAGUAGGAUAUUGCAUCCAUGUACAAUAUCCGACUCUCUUCGUCGAAGAUUUAAUGAGUUUUUUGUUCUCAAACAAAAUCCCAAGGACCAAAACAGCUUUAAGAUGGGAAUUAUGUUUCGGUAUUUCAGCAUAAAGUAAGUUCUCGAUUGGCAUAUUACAUUGCUCGAAUUGAGAAGUUGAGUAAUUUUAAUGUCCAAAUUCCAAGCCCAUGUAACAUGAUAAGGAAUGUCGGCAAAAUCCCAGAAGUGCAGAUAAGAGAAAUUGGAGCAAGUGAAAAUUUUUUAUCGACAAUUGGAAGUUUUAUGAUUUAAAUACUAGAUAACAAACAUACUGAAACAAGGAGAACAGUUAAAAAGACUUACUUGGUAGUACCAUCAAAGAUGGCAGGUGGUUCUGAAGAAGAAUCAAGAGCAGGUGGAAGCACCUCUUUCACACUUCAAAAUACAAAACAUCUCACCAUAAGCAACAGAAUCCCAAAAAUAAAAGCGGAAAAGAUGAACUGAUAGAGAUUCGAUUACCCAGAAGACAUUGCCGAAGCGGAUAGUGGAGAAAUUCUUGAAAAUUUAACAUGCGGGUGAAUAUUUCGAGGGUAUCUUAAUGGGUUUUUGGGUACAGAGCAUAUAGAGAAAACAGAAGGAAAUGUGAGGCGCGGAUUAGCAGCUGAUGAAGUUGGUAAGCUUACACUAGUGCCAGGUGUAGCAGCUGCCAUGAUCACAGAUGAACUUCAAAGUGGCCAUGUCGUGUUAAUUUAUGUCUCUGUUGGGCAAAUUCCACUUUACCCCCUGUGGUUUAACUUUUUUUGCAUAACCCCUUAUGGUUUCAAAAGCUAUACAUAACCUCCCUCGUGGUUUAGAUUAAAGUGUCAAAAUGACGGAAAUGAUCAUUCUUAACGGAGUCACCUAAAAUAUAAAAAAUACCUUUAUGUAAAAUUGAAAGUUAUUUAUUAAUCAAGGGGGGUUAUGUGUAUAUUUUGAAAACCAUUAGGGGGUUAUAUGGUAAAGUAUUAAAUCAUAAGGAGCUUAUCUAGUAAAAUAUAAAAAUUAUAGGGGGUGUCAUGUAUUUAUAAGGGUAAUUUCGACAUUUCUAGAAGUUCCGUUACAAUGACUAUUUCCGUUAUUUUGACACUUUAAUUCAAACCAUGAGAGAGGUAAUAUAAAAAAUCGCUAAAUCAUAGGGGGGUAAAAUGUAAUUUGCCCGUCUCUAUUUUUUAAUUUUUGGAUUGGCUUAUGAAGUGCGGAACUUUCUCUUGGAAUCUUUAUUCAAGGGGUGUUUGGUAAAUGAGUUUCAACUCCCAUUAGGUGUUUCAAAUUCAAUUAUACCUAUACAUGAUGUUUGCUUAGGGUCAAUGGAAUAAAUCAAUGGGAAUAAUAGGCUUAUUUCAUGGAUUUUAUGAUUAAUCACCUCUCACUAGAGAAUCAUCUUAACUACCCAUUUUACUCUACUUAAAGGUAAAAACACCCAUCUUAUUUUCCUUGAAUGUAAAAAUAAGAAAACAAAAUGCCACCGUUUGUGCUGGUUUCAACAAAUGGAAAAAAGAAAAAAGAAAAGUAAUAAAUUGUAAAAUCCAUUUCACAUUAACAAACACACUAUACUAUAGGUUUUGAUCAAAAUUCAUUAUCAUUGAACACUCUGUGACACCGAUAAUAAUAGUGAUUGUAGAAUUUGAAUCAAACGGCUCUCAAAUCAUUAAUAAGAUUGCCGGUAUUUCUUGCUCCCAGUGCCAAAUGUCACGACACAGUAGCGUAACGCUAAAACUCAGUAAAAUGAUAAACCCUGGCCACUACACGCCACUCGUUUGGUUGGGAGGUUUCGCACUCCUUAAUGGGAAUGAGAUGGUAGCGUUCUCCUUUGAUCAUGUUUGAUACAUUACUAUGGGUAUUUUCAUUGCCUACUUUUGGAUCUUGCAAACUCAAAAACUCACUAAAUUGGGAACUGUCAGUCUGAUAACCCACUUUUUAGAGGAAAAUAAAUCAAAAUUGAACUUAGAGAUUGUGAAGAAUCCGGAAAGGAAGAGCACGGGUGAUACAAAUUAUCCCCUCCUUGCUGGUGCAGGUUGCCCUCCCAAUCGGCUUCAUCCCUCUCGCUCGUCGAGGGAAAUGAUGCUUAGAGUUGUCUUUGUCCAUGUAUUGUUAGAUUUGAAGCAAAUUUGCAUUGAUUCACACCUUGCACAACAGCAGCAGUUGCUCCUAAAGUCUACCUGUUCAAUCGUCUUUUGCUCCUAAAGCUUCACCAUGGCUCUUUUUUUUUUCCGAAUUUUCUUAGUUUUCGCUCGAGUUUACCUAUAUAGAAAGCAAUUUUAAAAACACGAUAUGCCUCUACAAUAAAUACAAAUAUGAAAACUCCAAACAAAUUAGAAAAUGAGCCAUCAUUUCGUUUGCGUUUAUCGUGUAAGUCAAUAUAUCGCUUAAGAGUAGAUUUUUCUUUUCACUAAAACCAAGGCUUGAUCAACAUAUGAUAUGGUUAUGUACAACUGUGCAACAAAGGGAUAAGCAGAGCUCCAACGACUCAUUAAAUUUCAGAUUUAUCAUCCAACAAGAAGAUAAAAAGGCAGCAUCCCAAUUGUCUCUUAGCCCUAUUUGGGUUUUCAUCAUUUCUCCCUAUUACCACCUCUUAAUAAGGCCAAACACUUCACAGACCUUGAAGUAAUCUAAAGUAGAUAGAAAUGCUGAAACCAUAAUCGAUUAGUACUAUGAUAUAGAAAGAUGCUUUUAUUUAACUAGUACUCGGAAGACGAACUUUAAAUCCUCAUCCAAGUUUUCUGGGUCAUCUACCAAUUUUGGGAAGCCCGGACACACUAAAAGAUGUUCAGGUCCUAUUCAGAGAAUACCAAGCAUCCGCCAGUUUAGUUAAGACAGAGUAAACUAUUAAGUCCGCAGAAGUUAUUCAAACAGCUGCUCACAACCAGAAGAUGUCUAACAACGAAUACU
This 32255-nucleotide long non-coding RNA is filed under the name Coffea arabica (coffee). RNAcentral describes it as "long non-coding RNA (CARA_LNC006450)". Lineage: Eukaryota; Viridiplantae; Streptophyta; Magnoliopsida; Gentianales; Rubiaceae. The record is from RNAcentral.